UGGGAGUAUUAUUGCUGUGGAGCUCUGUUAUACACUCAGACACAUUAUUGAGAGUAUUAUUGCUGUGGGGCUCUGUUAUACACUCAGACACAUUACUGGGAGUAUUAUUGCUGCGGGGCUCUGUUAUACACUCAGACACAUUACUGGGAGUAUAAUUGCUGCGGGGCUCUGUUAUACACUCAGACACAUUACUGGGAGUAUUAUUGCUGUGGAGCUCUGUUAUACACUCAGACACAUUACUGGGAUUAUUAUUACUGUGGAGCUCUGUUAUACACUCAGGCACAUUACUGGGAGUAUUAUUGCUGUGGAGCUCUGUUAUACACUCAGACACAUUACUGGGAGUAUUAUUACUGUGGAUCUCUGUUAUACACUCAGUCACAUUACUGGGAGUAUUAUUGCUGUGGAGCUCUG
Pelobates cultripes (western spadefoot toad) is the source of this 411-nucleotide non-coding RNA. Lineage: Eukaryota; Metazoa; Chordata; Amphibia; Anura; Pelobatidae. The record is from the annotation of a GenBank genome assembly.